AGUGAACGCUGGCGGUAGGCCUAACACAUGCAAGUCGAACGGCAGCACAGUAAGAGCUUGCUCUUACGGGUGGCGAGUGGCGCACGGGUGAGGAAUACAUCGGAAUCUACUUUUUCGUGGGGGAUAACGUAGGGAAACUUACGCUAAUACCGCAUACGACCUACGGGUGAAAGCAGGGGAUCUUCGGACCUUGCGCGAUUGAAUGAGCCGCUGUCGGAUUAGCUAGUUGGCGGGGUAAAGGCCCACCAAGGCGACGAUCCGUAGCUGGUCUGAGAGGAUGAUCAGCCACACUGGAACUGAGACACGGUCCAGACUCCUACGGGAGGCAGCAGUGGGGAAUAUUGGACAAUGGGCGCAAGCCUGAUCCAGCCAUACCGCGUGGGUGAAGAAGGCCUUCGGGUUGUAAAGCCCUUUUGUUGGGAAAGAAAAGCAGCAGGUUAAUACCCCGCUGUUCUGACGGUACCCAAAGAAUAAGCACCGGCUAACUUCGUG
This 492-nucleotide ribosomal RNA is filed under the name uncultured bacterium. RNAcentral describes it as "partial 16S ribosomal RNA". It matches the Rfam family "Bacterial small subunit ribosomal RNA", at positions 29 to 507 of the family's 1533-position model. The record is from RNAcentral.